CCCAUCGUCUAGAGGCCUAGGACACCGCCCUUUCACGGCGGUAACAGGGGUUCGAAUCCCCUUGGGGACGCCA
RNAcentral lists this transfer RNA (73 nucleotides) under Pseudoalteromonas sp. CO109Y. Its description in RNAcentral is "tRNA-Glu". It matches the Rfam family "tRNA". Rfam says of the family: Transfer RNA (tRNA) molecules are approximately 80 nucleotides in length. Their secondary structure includes four short double-helical elements and three loops (D, anti-codon, and T loops). Lineage: Bacteria; Pseudomonadati; Pseudomonadota; Gammaproteobacteria; Alteromonadales; Pseudoalteromonadaceae. RNAcentral also lists the same sequence under 2 other names. The record is from RNAcentral.